Molecule: ribosomal RNA, 875 nt
Filed under: Salmonella enterica subsp. enterica serovar Typhimurium
Lineage: Bacteria; Pseudomonadati; Pseudomonadota; Gammaproteobacteria; Enterobacterales; Enterobacteriaceae
Description: partial 23S ribosomal RNA
Rfam family: Bacterial large subunit ribosomal RNA
Source: RNAcentral
UGACCUGUGGCUGGGGGUGAAAGGCCAAUCAAACCGGGAGAUAGCUGGUUCUCCCCGAAAGCUAUUUAGGUAGCGCCUCGUGAAUUCAUCUCCGGGGGUAGAGCACUGUUUCGGCUAGGGGGCCAUCCCGGCUUACCAACCCGAUGCAAACUGCGAAUACCGGAGAAUGUUAUCACGGGAGACACACGGCGGGUGCUAACGUCCGUCGUGAAGAGGGAAACAACCCAGACCGCCAGCUAAGGUCCCAAAGUCAUGGUUAAGUGGGAAACGAUGUGGGAAGGCCCAGACAGCCAGGAUGUUGGCUUAGAAGCAGCCAUCAUUUAAAGAAAGCGUAAUAGCUCACUGGUCGAGUCGGCCUGCGCGGAAGAUGUAACGGGGCUAAACCAUGCACCGAAGCUGCGGCAGCGAACGUAUCACCCAAGACAACUUUACGGAGUUGACGAUUGACGGAGCGAAGCGACGUCAAAGCGUUCAUUAAAGUCGAGUUGGCUUAGGGAUACGUUCGUUGGGUAGGGGAGCGUUCUGUAAGCCUGUGAAGGUGUGUCGUGAGGCAUGCUGGAGGUAUCAGAAGUGCGAAUGCUGACAUAAGUAACGAUAAAGCGGGUGAAAAGCCCGCUCGCCGGAAGACCAAGGGUUCCUGUCCAACGUUAAUCGGGGCAGGGUGAGUCGACCCCUAAGGCGAGGCCGAAAGGCGUAGUCGAUGGGAAACGGGUUAAUAUUCCCGUACUUGGUGUUACUGCGAAGGGGGGACGGAGAAGGCUAUGUUGGCCGGGCGACGGUUGUCCCGGUUUAAGCGUGUAGGUGUGUGUUCCAGGUAAAUCCGGUUCACUUUAACACUGAGGCGUGACGACGAGGCACUACGGUGCUGAAGCAAC